UCUUGUACCAGUCGGGCACAUUGAGCCGUUGCAACGAUCGUUGCACCCUAAGCUCGUGCUCGCUCGGCACGCGCUCGCCCACUUUCUGCAGCUCAUUCUCCGGCGGCUGCAACGACAAAUUCACAUUCAUAUUUUUCAACGUUUCCUCAGCUGAUCACGGGCGAUUAUGAGGAUUCUCGUGAUAAAUUGGAAGACGUAUUUACUCACGUUUUUGACAGCUAUAUCGGUUCCCGUUUCGCGAUCUGUCGCUGUUAGCUGCUCCUUCAUAUUUUUUCAUUGUCUCGACUUCAAUGCUAAUCGCGCGACACGGACGGCCACAUAACGGAUGCACGUGACGAACGUGCGUGUGAUUUUCAUGCGCGCAGUAUAACGGGACUAAAUCAGAAAGCGAAUGGCUUCCACUCGUCCCCACGGCUGUCUUCUCUUCAUUAUCGAGCGAGGGAGCGGUUCGCCGGUUGUGCACGCACGUGUGCGCGUAUCGGCCCAAGGAAAAUAUUUUCCGAGACAUCUUGGACCGUUAAAUUUUCAUCCGCGCGCGUAGGGUAAGACGCGCUUCAUAAAUAUUUCCUCGACUGAAACUCCCAAUCCCUAAUAGCGCCUUAAGAAGCGAGCGAAGAUAGAAGCAGUGGUAUUCUCAGCGUUCAUUAAAAUCAUCUCGCGAAGAAGUUAAAACUAGCCCGCGAGAAUGACGAAGUUUCAUUAAAAUCCGAGCGCUUUUCCGUUAAAAUUGCAAUUAAAAUAGACUUUUAAAUAAUUCAACCGAAAAAGCGUGAAAUCCCAAUCUAGAAAUGAGCUCUAUAUGAUUAAUAUAUAGGAGAUGGACAAAAUAAUGUGAAAUGCACUACUUUUUUUUUUAAUUAAUAAGGAUUAAUUUACCAUUUGUCUUCAAUAGAAAUUUUUAUUCUCGUUUGGAAUAAAGUCAUGCCAUGCUCAAAUAGUCAUCAAUGGAAAGUUUUACUAUUUUCUUUUUAAUGGAAUAUCUUUAAAUUGAUUAUAUUAUAUAAAUGAGAUGUUGGAAAAAGAAGUCUGCUUGUCACACUGUUUUCCACUAUUGCUCUCUGUUUUGCAAAACGUCAACGUUUUUCUUAGACGACGUAACCGCCUGAUUUAAAUAUUAUCUAGUCAUUGUGAGCAGUUUUGAAGAGCAGAACGAAAAAAAACAGAUUCCAAAGAGCUCUUAGAAGAUAUUCUGCUGGAAGAAGGUGUAACAUUACAUUGGCGACUAUUUAAGCGUUACAUUAUCUUGUUUCAAAUAAGUAAGAAUAAAAUCCGAGUGGAUAUUUAAAAAAAAUGGACCAACCUCUUAUUAAUGAAACGAGUGCAUGAAAAAAAUAUAUUUUUUUCUGAAAUACAGAUCUGAAAACAAUCAUGUUGAACUAUUUAAAAAAUUGCAUCGAAUGUUUAAUUUGUUUGUCGGAAUACCAAAACUGUAGCAGCAUUAUCAUGCUUCGGCGUAAUAAUUAUUUUGAUUGCCCAACAUGUAAAUUAUUUUCUGAUCUGUAUCUAGUUAAAUUUUUAGCCUGCAAUAAAGUUGUUCUUCGAUUCUUGUGUGUGUAUGUGUGUGUGUCUCCCAGGUGUUUCAUUAUUUUUGUUUACGCUAUGUACAUGCUUUUUUGCCAAACUUUGUUUCUCGAUAAACCAAUCUUCAUUGAGGCGGCAAGAUAAGCGAAUAUGAAUAAUAUCUAGUUAUUUUUGAUGGCAAAAAAUUGAGGCCAUAGCUUUUGGUCGGCUUCCCAAUCCCGCGGACGCGAAACGGACAGCGGGUGAUGCAGGUUUCGGAGUAUGAGGCCAAGGCUGAGCCAUGUGAGCGGGAUAGGAAUGAUCCGCGUGCGGAAAUGUGAGGGGCGUUUACGUAAUGCGAAUGGGAAGAACAAGCGGUAAGCGGCGUUCGCUUCAUAGAAUCGAUUUCGUGAGUCGCUAAAUCUCUUAUAAGCCAAAGUCGCCGCAAAUGUCCGAAAUGAUGAAACCCGCGAGGUAGCGAAACCCUCCGGCGACCUUCCCGCAACAUACGUAUAUCGCGCAACCUUUGGAAAUUUUAUCAAAAUCUGAACGUGUCCCUUCCAUCUUGUACCUCUAAUAAAAUUAUAAUGCGAAGAUUGACAUGGUUGGACGAUGGGUCUGGAAAUCGAGCUCUAUCGAUGCGACGAAAAAUAGAACGAGAUUAAAAUAGAACGGGCUUGGCGGAGAAGGAAAUCAAAGUGACAUUAAGAAGGCACUAUCCCGAUUAAAAAGAAAAAAGAAAAAAAAAAGAAUACAUCGCGGUUCGAUAUCGCGUUGCGAUCGGAGGACGCGUUGCAUAACGGGCGUCUCGGGUGUCGGGGACACGGAGAUGCAAUAAUGCUAAUUUCAAUUACGACAGGCCGUCGUCUUUUCCGUCACCACGUCAUCGCGUUGUCCCCGUCAAUUGACAUGAAUUAGGGGAAAGCCACGUCAAAGAUGGCGCGGUGCAUCUGCCAUUAAGGCGGCCAAAGACCCCGCGCGCCUCUCUCGCUGCAAGUGCAUGUGCAUCGCGCGUCGAUGCAUCCUGUUCUCGCUGCAUUCGCGAGUGCACAGCCGGCGUCGCCCACGAUAUUCCGACGAUGUCGAAAAGUACUCGUCGCUCUGCGCGAAAUCUCUCAAACGCAACGACUUUUAAAUCUACGCGUGCAAAAAAAAAAAAGAAAAAAACAACGAAAAUGUUUCAAUUGUCAUAUUUGCACGUAAUUUUCGAUAAUUGACAUGUUGUUGAGUCACGACGUGGUAUAAUAAAAUGCCAAUUAAGCGAUUUUUCAGUAGCAAAUUUAAUCCAGUAGCACACUGGCUAUCCUUUCGAUUAGAUUUUCACAAUUUUUCCGGCUUCGUGCAAACUUGAGAAUAAUUACCGCUCCUCGUUUAUUGACGCGCACUAUAGCCAUUUAGCCAUUUAGCCUAUGCUGUGGCAUGUUGACGAUCGCAUUAACCAUCGUUGAAAUUACAUACAUACGUACACGUGCAUAAAUUAUAGCGAGCGACAUAAUGCCGUGGAUAUAAUCCUAAUAGUCGUCCUAUAGCCGUAGGAAAAGAAGGAAAGCGAGCGGCGAUAGACUCGCCUUUUACCACUUAUUGUUAUACCACCAUCGAUUGCAAUUGUUUUCAAAGGUUGGCCUUAAUAAUGCACCCACCCACACCGAUACGACGGAAGUUGCGAAACUUUUCCUCGGCCGCGCGGAACUUUGAAAUCGCGAGCGACGGAAUCGUCUAAAUAAUUUCUGCCCGGCCUUAUCGCAGAAGCGUUGGCUGAAGGUGUAUUACGAACUAUGAUAACGAACUAUGCCGAGAAAAUGAAGACCGCUGGCGCGGCCAAGUAACCGAUAACACUUAUUGGUAAUUCGCAUGUGCAAAAAGAGGUAUGUUUCUUCGUACCUUUAAAAUGGCACGAAGUCAAUAUUGGAUUAGUUAAGUAACGUUUUAUUUUAAGAGACGAGGAAUCGAUGUGUGAGGUGUCCACUUCCCCCUCCCCCUCUCUCGACCUCUUAAUCAUCGGGAUUAUUUCUAUACUUGUGUUUUUAAAUUUUACGUUAUUUCACUUUGGGAAAAUUGCUGUUAUAAUUGAAUUGUGGCAAAUGUAAGUUGUCAUUUAUAUAACUGAGAAGAUUUGCUAAAGGUGUCAAUGCGCUUUUGACUAAAAUAUCGUGCGCGGCUCGCACAUGCGGCGCGCAUAUGCCCGCCGCGUGCGUGCAGAUACAUCGACGCAAGUGCUCGUAAAUACGUGCGAACGGACCCUUGUGCAACGGGGAACGGGGGGGGGGGAAAGGGAGGAAGGGAGGGAAGUC
Molecule: long non-coding RNA, 3791 nt
Organism: Solenopsis invicta (red fire ant)
Lineage: Eukaryota; Metazoa; Arthropoda; Insecta; Hymenoptera; Formicidae
Exons: 2
Source: RefSeq, a predicted model, not a curated record